Molecule: long non-coding RNA, 828 nt
Organism: Gopherus evgoodei (Goodes thornscrub tortoise)
Lineage: Eukaryota; Metazoa; Chordata; Testudines; Testudinidae
Exons: 3
Source: RefSeq, a predicted model, not a curated record
GCUUCCGACUGCGGGGGGCCCGGCAGCGCCGGGGCGGCUCCUCAGCCUUGUCCAGAGCUCAGCUGCGGGGGAGGGGCCCCCGCUGAACCCCGGCGCUGGGCAAAUGCAGGGACUGGACAACGGUGACGUCAAACGCCCAGGGGGCAGGUUCAGGGUCGCCCUGUUCCCAACGCGCCUCCAAAUCGACGGGCUUGCAACGUGGUCCGGCACCGGCACCGGCACCGACCCUAGCGGCCAAGGCCGGGACGGGUCCGCCCGCUGGGCUAGUCCCGGCCGAAGCUGCACUCGGCACUGUAGGGGGGCUGCUUUGCGGGACUGAAGGUAACGCCCAGAGACGUAGUGCUGCUCCCGUCAAGCGUAGGGACUUGGUGGGGAUUUACCCUGGGCUUCAGCCUGGCUGACUUUGGGAGCUCGGGAGGUAACUAAACCUGGAUAGUGGAUUUUCGGGGAGUUCCUAAAAACCACAGGUUGGCUGGAUGACACUUGGCACUUCUCCAGCAUCUUCCAUCCCGGGAUCUCAAAGCACUUUCCCAACAACAGUCGUGAUUAAACCCAGCCACUCUUGUGGGGAUUCACUACAAGUGUUGUCUUUGAUGUGAGAUCUAAGGUGCAAUUUACCUGGGAUGACUGGUCCUUUUGGGGCUGGAAGCCUGAAUAUUGGUGUAAUUCAUGGUGUAACGGACCAUCUAUCACAAAGGUACUUCCCCACAGAAAUACAGUCACAUCUAUGAUUGCAAGUCAUGAAGGAUGAAUGGGUCUGAUUGAUGAACAGUGGAGCAACCAUCACAGGAACAGUCUCCUAGAUGGCCUGGGAACCCCACUGGGAAA